Molecule: ribosomal RNA, 1318 nt
Filed under: Campylobacter lari
Lineage: Bacteria; Pseudomonadati; Campylobacterota; Epsilonproteobacteria; Campylobacterales; Campylobacteraceae
Description: partial 23S ribosomal RNA
Rfam family: Bacterial large subunit ribosomal RNA
Source: RNAcentral
UUCUAAGUUUAGCUAAUGUUGCCCGUACCGUAAACCGACACAGGUGGGUGGGAUGAGUAUUCUAAGGCGCGUGGAAGAACUCUCUUUAAGGAACUCUGCAAAAUAGCACCGUAUCUUCGGUAUAAGGUGUGGUUCGCUUUGUAUUAGAAUUUACUUCGAAAGCAAAGAAACUUACAACAAAGAGUCCCUCCCGACUGUUUACCAAAAACACAGCACUCUGCUAACUCGCAAGAGGAUGUAUAGGGUGUGACGCCUGCCCGGUGCUCGAAGGUUAAUUGAUGGGGUUAGCAUUAGCGAAGCUCUUGAUCGAAGCCCGAGUAAACGGCGGCCGUAACUAUAACGGUCCUAAGGUAGCGAAAUUCCUUGUCGGUUAAAUACCGACCUGCAUGAAUGGCGUAACGAGAUGGGAGCUGUCUCAAAGAGGGAUCCAGUGAAAUUGUAGUGGAGGUGAAAAUUCCUCCUACCCGCGGCAAGACGGAAAGACCCCGUGGACCUUUACUACAGCUUGACACUGCUAUUUGGAUAAGAAUGUGCAGGAUAGGUGGGAGGCUUUGAGUAAUAGACGCCAGUUUAUUAUGAGCCGUUGUUGAGAUACCACUCUUUCUUAUUUGGGUAGCUAACCAGCUUGAGUUAUCCUCAAGUGGGACAAUGUCUGGUGGGUAGUUUGACUGGGGCGGUCGCCUCCCAAAUAAUAACGGAGGCUUACAAAGGUUGGCUCAGAACGGUUGGAAAUCGUUCGUAGAGUAUAAAGGUAUAAGCCAGCUUAACUGCAAGACAUACAAGUCAAGCAGAGACGAAAGUCGGUCUUAGUGAUCCGGUGGUUCUGUGUGGAAGGGCCAUCGCUCAAAGGAUAAAAGGUACCCCGGGGAUAACAGGCUGAUCUCCCCCAAGAGCUCACAUCGACGGGGAGGUUUGGCACCUCGAUGUCGGCUCAUCGCAUCCUGGGGCUGGAGCAGGUCCCAAGGGUAUGGCUGUUCGCCAUUUAAAGCGGUACGCGAGCUGGGUUCAGAACGUCGUGAGACAGUUCGGUCCCUAUCUGCCGUGGGCGUAAGAAGAUUGAAGAGAUUUGACCCUAGUACGAGAGGACCGGGUUGAACAAACCACUGGUGUAGCUGUUGUUCUGCCAAGAGCAUCGCAGCGUAGCUAAGUUUGGAACGGAUAAACGCUGAAAGCAUCUAAGCGUGAAGCCAACUCUAAGAUGAAUCUUCUCUAAGCUCUCUAGAAGACUACUAGUUUGAUAGGCUGGGUGUGUAAUGGAUGAAAGUCCUUUAGCUGACCAGUACUAAUAGAGCGUUUGGCUUAUCUUUUUUAUAAGCAU